GAUGAAGAACGCAGCGAAAUGCGAUAAGUAAUGUGAAUUGCAGAAUUCAGUGAAUCAUCGAAUCUUUGAACGCACCUUGCGCCUUUUGGUAUUCCGAAAGGCAUGCCUGUUUGAGUGUCAUGAAAUCUCAAUCCUCCUAGGUUUUUGACCUGGUUGGACUUGGACAUGGGCGUCUGCCAGCAAUGGCUCGCCUUAAAUGACUUAGUGGAACAUCCCACAUCAGUGUUAGACGUAAUAAGUUUCGUCUCUCCUUGUGGUGAUGACUGCUCAUAAUCUGCCAUCGCGCACUUUUGACUUUGACCUCAAAUCAGGUAGGGCUACCCGCUGAACUUAAGCAUAUCAAUAAGCGAGGA
Molecule: unclassified non-coding RNA, 353 nt
Filed under: soil metagenome
Description: partial contains 5.8S ribosomal RNA, internal transcribed spacer 2, and large subunit ribosomal RNA
Rfam family: 5.8S ribosomal RNA (bases 1-120)
Source: RNAcentral